UUUUGCUUUGAAGUCCUGCUUCUGGAUGUAGCAGUGAGAAGCUCUUAAAUCAUCCCUGGCAGAGGUGACAUUAUAAAAAUAAUUCUGAAGAACAAAAGUUCUUGCCCUUGGAACACACUGCAUUGCACCAAAUAAGAAUUCUAUUUCUACAAGGGCUGGUUCAGAACUUGCUGGUCUUCUCUCCAUCAACCUUGUGUACCUCUGCAUCAAAGAUGUUAACUGAGUCCUAUAAGUUUCAGCAUCGUGACUGUGCUUAAGCAGCUGGACCUGUUUGCACUUCUGUCAGGGGACCAACAUACUCCCACACACUCUUCCUCCCCUCAUCCCUGCCUAUUUCCUUCUUACCCACACCCAGAAGUGACUUUUCUUGAGAAAUGGGAAAGCUAUCAGCAUGUCCCCAUGCUUCCUGGGCAACUUGCAAAUCUGCCUUUGCUCUCAGAGGUGGGUGACAUCUGCUUUCUUUUAUGGG
Molecule: long non-coding RNA, 469 nt
Organism: Parus major (Great Tit)
Lineage: Eukaryota; Metazoa; Chordata; Aves; Passeriformes; Paridae
Exons: 4
Source: RefSeq, a predicted model, not a curated record